CCUACGGGGGCAGCAGUGGGGAAUAUUGGACAAUGGGCGAAAGCCUGAUCCAGCCAUGCCGCGUGUGUGAAGAAGGCCUUCGGGUUGUAAAGCACUUUCAGUGGGGAAGAAAGCCUUGGGGCUAAUACCCUCGAGGAAGGACAUCACCCACAGAAGAAGCACCGGCUAACUCCGUGCCAGCAGCUGCGGUAAUACGGAGGGUGCGAGCGUUAAUCGGAAUUACUGGGCGUAAAGCGCGCGUAGGCGGUCUGAUAAGCCGGUUGUGAAAGCCCGGGGCUCAACCUGGGAACGGCAUCCGGAACUGUCAGGCUAGAGUGCAGGAGAGGAAGGUAGAAUUCCCGGUGUAGCGGUGAAAUGCGUAGAGAUCGGGAGGAAUACCAGUGGCGAAGGCGGCCUUCUGGACUGACACUGACGCUGAGGUGCGAAAGCGUGGGUAGCAAACAGGAUUAGAUACCCCAGUAGUC
This 464-nucleotide ribosomal RNA is filed under the name Vreelandella stevensii. RNAcentral describes it as "partial 16S ribosomal RNA". It matches the Rfam family "Bacterial small subunit ribosomal RNA", at positions 338 to 795 of the family's 1533-position model. The record is from RNAcentral. Lineage: Bacteria; Pseudomonadati; Pseudomonadota; Gammaproteobacteria; Oceanospirillales; Halomonadaceae.